GCUUACGGCCAUACCAGCCUGGGUACGCCCGAUCUCGUCUGAUCUCGGAAGCUAAGCAGGGUUGGGCCUGGUUAGUACUUGGAUGGGAGACCGCCUGGGAAUACCAGGUGCUGUAAGGA
Molecule: ribosomal RNA, 119 nt
Filed under: Salmo salar (Atlantic salmon)
Lineage: Eukaryota; Metazoa; Chordata; Actinopteri; Salmoniformes; Salmonidae
Source: RNAcentral